AUCACACAUGAGGAGGGAAUACACGACCUGUCUGUGCUGCCCCAAACACACACAAACACACAAACAAAAAGCCGGGACCACCUCCCCUGGCCGCCGGCCUCACUGCAGUCUCUGCUCUGAUUGGUCAAAGCAAACAGAGGGGUGGGCUUUGAAUGCCCAUAGGUUUAGAGCCUGAGGGCUUUUAUGCAAUAUGGGAAAAAAAGAGUUAGAGUUACAUCAUAUAGUUCUAUAUAGUUCAGUGUGCUGCAGUGUCAGAGUGAAGGCUGCAGCGUGUCCUGAAGCAGAGGCCACAGAUGCAGCUCAGCAGCUCCCACUGGUCAUGAAUGAAGAGCCGCCACUCUGCAGACAGCAGAGCAGGAAGAGACUGACUUCAUCUACCCUCACACGGCUGUUCUGCUCUCCUGCUUUGACAUUUGCAAAUUUCUGCUCCUUGGGCUUUGACUAGGCCAAAGGUCUCCAUCUCCAGUUCUCGAGGGCUACUGCCCUGCAACCUUCAGAGUGAAGCCCUACCCAUUUGAUGACGGGUCCAUUGACCCCUGAGUGUCGCUGUUCUCUGGCAGCUGUAACCUGAAACACAGGAACAAAAUUGAAGGUGUUCAGAGAAAAGCAGCAACUCUCAAGGGAUAAAACCAGCUGAAAGCACAGCUAUUGUUUGAGAAACACAAGCGUGAGAGCCACAGAAACACAGGCAGGGAUAGAUGCAGACACUCCCAUAUUGCAAAGGUAUUCACAACAAUCUAAGGGGAGAUUUUUAGAUAAUAUUUACUUGACAUUUUUGGGUGAAAAUGGCCUGAUUUUUAGUUUAUUAGUUUAGUUUUGAUCCUCUGUAAGUUUCACUAACAUAUUUCAGAAGAAUCAGAAGAA
Molecule: long non-coding RNA, 864 nt
Organism: Xiphophorus couchianus (Monterrey platyfish)
Lineage: Eukaryota; Metazoa; Chordata; Actinopteri; Cyprinodontiformes; Poeciliidae
Exons: 3
Source: RefSeq, a predicted model, not a curated record